Molecule: ribosomal RNA, 434 nt
Filed under: uncultured bacterium
Lineage: Bacteria
Description: bacterial SSU rRNA
Rfam family: Bacterial small subunit ribosomal RNA
Source: RNAcentral
GCUUAACGCGAAGAACCUUACCCACCUUUGACAUGUACGGAAUUUGCCAGAGAUGGCUUAGUGCUCGAAAGAGAACCGUAACACAGGUGCUGCAUGACUGUCGUCAGCUCGUGUCGUGAGAUGUUGGGUUAAGUCCCGCAACGAGCGCAACCCUUGCCAUUAGUUGCUACGAAAGGGCACUCUAAUGGGACUGCCGGUGACAAACCGGAGGAAGGUGGGGAUGACGUCAAGUCCUCAUGGCCCUUAUAGGUGGGGCUACACACGUCAUACAAUGGCUGGUACAAAGGGUUGCCAACCCGCGAGGGGGAGCCAAUCCCAUAAAGCCAGUCGUAGUCCGGAUCGCAGUCUGCAACUCGACUGCGUGAAGUCGGAAUCGCUAGUAAUCGUGGAUCAGCAUGUCACGGUGAAUACGUUCCCGGGUCUUGUACACACCG